Molecule: transfer RNA, 72 nt
Filed under: Euzebyales bacterium
Lineage: Bacteria; Bacillati; Actinomycetota; Nitriliruptoria; Euzebyales
Also listed under: 3 other names
Description: tRNA-Val
Rfam family: tRNA
About the family: Transfer RNA (tRNA) molecules are approximately 80 nucleotides in length. Their secondary structure includes four short double-helical elements and three loops (D, anti-codon, and T loops).
Source: RNAcentral
GGGCUCGUAGCUCAGUGGGAGAGCGCUCGCCUCACACGCGAGAGGUCACAGGUUCAAAACCUGUCGGGCCCA